GAUGAACGCUGGCGGCGUGCCUAAUACAUGCAAGUCGAGCGAACAGACGAGGAGCUUGCUCCUCUGACGUUAGCGGCGGAAGUGUGAGUAACACGUGGAUAACCUACCUAUAAGACUGGGAUAGCUUCGGGAAACCGGAGCUAAUACCGGAUAAUAUAUUGAACCGCAUGGUUCAAUAGUGAAAGACGGUUUUGCUGUCACUUAUAGAUGGAUCCGCGCCGCAUUAGCUAGUUGGUAAGGUAACGGCUUACCAAGGCAACGAUGCGUAGCCGACCUGAGAGGGUGAUCGGCCACACUGGAACUGAGACACGGACAAGACUCCUAGGGGAGGCAGCAGUAGGGGAUCUGCAGCAAUGGGCGAAAACCUGACGGAGCCAAGCCGCGUGAGUGAAGAAGAUCUUGGGAUCGUCAAGCUCUGUUAGUAGGGAAGAACAAAUGUGUAAGUAAAUAUGCACGUCUUGACGGUACCUACUCAGAAAGCCACGGCUAACUACGUG
This 497-nucleotide ribosomal RNA is filed under the name uncultured bacterium. RNAcentral's name for it is "partial 16S ribosomal RNA". It matches the Rfam family "Bacterial small subunit ribosomal RNA", at positions 28 to 507 of the family's 1533-position model. The record is from RNAcentral.